UAGUCUGUUAAUCUAAUUUCAAUUUAAAAAAAAAAAACUAAAAAUAAAAACUUAAAUAAAAUAAAAAAAGUAAAUAUAAAUCUCAAGUAUUAUUGAAUAUAUAUUUUAUCAAAUAAGAAAAUUGUCAAAUUGAACCGAUCAAUUUUAGUUAUGAGUUUGAUUCACGGUCUAAACUACCAUAGCUAUGUCUAGUCUAUUUUAUUCUAUAGACAAAUUGAGUUGAGCUGAAUGGUUUGAAUUGGGUUGAAUUAUGAGUUUUGGAUUGAUAAGUGAUUCACUUGAUUUAUUUAUUUUAGUUUGAGUUGUUUUUUUAGUUUUUUUGAAUGGUAGACUGAUCUUUAAUUUCCUAUGUGCUUUCGCCUUUUAUGGCAUUAAUAAAUGCAAUAUUAUCUUUGUCGACGGCCGAACUUGGGUUCUCCAGCAAGGCAGAACCCGAUUCUGCCCUAUGCAUAUGGCCACCCAACUCUCCAAUCCUCACACCCAACUCCUCAAAAAUAUACAUACUCACUCAUCAAGCAUAAGGGGCAUAAAAACUAGUCUAAACUCCAACAAACAACAAUAAAAACUCAUAAGAGCAAACAUUCAUUAAAAACCCAACUCAAACCUUAAAACUUUAGAUCUAACCAUUUCAUGCAUUUUUAACCCUUUACCCCUUCUUAAAACUUGAUUAAAACAUAACAAAAGCAAUGAUCUAGGCUUACCUCUUGGAGAUCUAAGGGUAGCAGCAACCCAAACUUGGAGAUGAGAAAAAAAACGUUCUCCGGAGGUCUCCAAGGUUUAAAAACUUAGAUUCAACUCAAAUCUUCAAAAGCAAACGGAAACUCGUGAAUUUUCUGAAAGAUUUGAAGGAAAAACAACACAAAUCACAAUGGGAGGGCAUGGACCUACCUCUGCCCGAAAAUGGAGAGAAAGCUCUCCCAUUUUCGGGCUGAAGCCUCUUAUAGGUGGCUGGAUAAACCACCUUCGGGGGCUGAAAGGGGAGGUCCUACGGCGGCACUACCUUUGGCGGUCGAACCUGGUUUUUCCNNNN
Molecule: long non-coding RNA, 1030 nt
Filed under: Manihot esculenta (cassava)
Lineage: Eukaryota; Viridiplantae; Streptophyta; Magnoliopsida; Malpighiales; Euphorbiaceae
Description: long non-coding RNA (MESC_LNC003897)
Source: RNAcentral